UUGACUUCACGUAUAUUUCUUAUUUGGGAUCAUUUCCCAACUUCCCUCUUCAGAUUUCCCAACCUUUUAUUGCUGUCAAUUAUCUGAUCAAGUAAGCAAGUUUCUUCCCUUUUCUUUCUCCAUAACAGUUUUUUUUGUAUGUGAUUUUGUUUAUUUUACUUGAAUCCAUACUCAUAUGAUUAUGCUGCUCUAUCAUAGUUUUCCUAGUGGUUAGUGCUAAAGUUCAUAUGAUUGUGGUUGACUUUGGAAGUAGCAUACUUUAGUUUCUGGGUUUAAAGUUUUUCAUGUUUUUUAUUGCUUUUGAUUACUACAUAAGGUAGGAAAUUCAGCAUCUUUAGUGGGUUUCUCGGUUUUAGUUGAGAUAAUGCAUAGGAAAGGGACGAUGGGGGCGAACUUUUGGGGAAUUUGCUGGGGAUAUAAAUCUAUGUUUGGUUUUGGUCGAGUUGAUUUUGUGAUCUUUGAGUUUCUUGACUAAAUUUACUGGAGAAUUAUUGGAUUUUAGUUUGGGAAAGACACUAAGGAAAGUUUCUUUUAAUUCAAAGAUGAGGAAAGAAAAUGUUGUCAAAAGCUUCACUUUUGUGCAGGGCUACUUGGAAGUAUAUGAUUCUUGAAGGAAAGUAAUUAUCCCGAGAAUGUGGUUUGUUAAAGUGAAAGAAAUGUGAAUUGAGACUAAAAUGAUGGAGUGAUACUAGAAUUAGACAUAAGCAGGCUCUGAAUUCUAUAGAUCCUAUUUAAUUUGGACUCCCUAGAUUUAGUUAGCUUAUAUACCAGACAAAUGUGGAGGCAGUAAUUUUAUUUUGCACUUUUUUUUUCCGUCUUCCACAAAAAUUUAGGAUCCAAACAGGCCCUAAAAAUAGCAAGAAAAAUAAUGUGUAAAGAGAGAAAACAAGUUUUGCAUGUGGGCUCUUGACAACAUUGGAUAGACUCUCUUUUCCUACUUGAUUGCUUUUGUGUUUCAAGAUAUGGAUUGCUGAAAGUUGGAGGUUAAUUUUUAAGUUUUUGCUGUUUCAAUCCUAGGUGUUUCUAUGGGGACUAAAUGUGGGGCCACUGCAGUUACUUUUGUACUGUUGUUGCUUUUGUCCCCUGCUGUGUUUUCAGCAUCAAAUGAUAAAUUGAUUAGAGUUGCACUGAAGAAAACAAAGUUAGAUCAGAUCAGCCGGUUUUCUGGAAAUGUUGAUCUUACUGAAGGGGGUUUUGCAAGAAUUAAUCGUCGUCGUGGAAAUG
This 1224-nucleotide long non-coding RNA is filed under the name Coffea arabica (coffee). RNAcentral describes it as "long non-coding RNA (CARA_LNC003496)". Lineage: Eukaryota; Viridiplantae; Streptophyta; Magnoliopsida; Gentianales; Rubiaceae. The record is from RNAcentral.